This 254-nucleotide ribosomal RNA is filed under the name uncultured prokaryote. Its description in RNAcentral is "partial 16S ribosomal RNA". It matches the Rfam family "Bacterial small subunit ribosomal RNA", at positions 524 to 776 of the family's 1533-position model. The record is from RNAcentral.
UACGGGGGGAGCAAGCGUUGUUCGGAUUUACUGGGCGUAAAGGGCGCGUAGGCGGCCACUGCAAGUCAGUUGUGAAAUCUCCGGGCUUAACUCAGAACGGCCAAGUGAUACUGCAGUGCUAGAGUGCAGAAGGGGCAAUCGGAAUUCUUGGUGUAGCGGUGAAAUGCGUAGAUAUCAAGAGGAACACCUGAGGUGAAGACGGGUUGCUGGGCUGACACUGACGCUGAUGCGCGAAAGCCAGGGGAGCAAACGGG